RNAcentral lists this ribosomal RNA (454 nucleotides) under uncultured bacterium. Its description in RNAcentral is "bacterial SSU rRNA". It matches the Rfam family "Bacterial small subunit ribosomal RNA", at positions 32 to 465 of the family's 1533-position model. The record is from RNAcentral.
AAUCAACGCUGGCGGCGUGCCUCAGACAUGCAAGUCGAACGCGAAAGGUUCCUUCGGGAACCGAGUAGAGUGGCGCACGGGUGAGUAACACGUAGGUAAUUUGCCUUUGGGUGGGGAAUAACAGCCGGAAACGGCUGCUAAUACCGCAUAAUGCAGCGGCUCGACAUCGAGACAGUUGUUAAAGCGGGGGAUCGCAAGACCUCGCGCCUAAAGAGAAGCCUGCGGCAGAUUAGCUAGUUGGUAGGGUAAUGGCCUACCAAGGCGACGAUCUGUAACCGGCCUGAGAGGGCGGUCGGUCACACUGACACUGACAUACGGGUCAGACUCCUACGGGAGGCAGCAGUCGGGAAUUUUGGGCAAUGGGCGAAAGCCUGACCCAGCAACGCCGCGUGAAGGAUGAAAUCCCUCGGGAUGUAAACUUCGCAAGAAUGGGAAGAAUAAGUGUGGGCUAAUA